RNAcentral lists this small RNA (377 nucleotides) under Pseudomonas sp. M30-35. RNAcentral's name for it is "Pseudomonas sRNA P34". It matches the Rfam family "Pseudomonas sRNA P34". The record is from Rfam by way of RNAcentral. Lineage: Bacteria; Pseudomonadati; Pseudomonadota; Gammaproteobacteria; Pseudomonadales; Pseudomonadaceae.
CCUCCCAGCGCGCCACCGAUUCCAGCUUCAGUGCCACCGGCAAAAACGCUGGCACUGCUCAUGCUCAGGGUCAGGAAAAUAAUUGAGGAGUACUUCAUAACUACAAUCACUCAAUGGAUGUUGAUGCCGUGAUCCUCUUGUUGUGCAAGUAACUGCGCAAGCUAAAUCCGACCAAUAACCCGAAUUUUGUAUACAUUGUAAAUAUAUGUUUUUAAUGAAGAACUUUGUUGUAUUUGCGGGUGUCAGAGACUGAUUGCUCAGGUUGGAUAAUGGCUAUUUAACGGCUGUUUUUGAGGUUGAAUUGCCAUUAUCGCGGGCUAGUUUACUAGCCUGGUCGCGUAGAUAAAAAAGCCUGAAUAAUCGCUAUUCAGGCUUUU